GACGAACGCUGGCGGCGUGCUUAACACAUGCAAGUCGAACGGAAAGGCCCUGCUUUUGUGGGGUGCUCGAGUGGCGAACGGGUGAGUAACACGUGAGUAACCUGCCCUUGACUUUGGGAUAACUUCAGGAAACUGGGGCUAAUACCGGAUAGGAGCUCCUGAUGCAUGGUGGGGGGUGGAAAGUUUCGGCGGUUGGGGAUGGACUCGCGGCUUAUCAGCUUGUUGGUGGGGUAGUGGCUUACCAAGGCUUUGACGGGUAGCCGGCCUGAGAGGGGGACCGGCCCCAACGGGACUUGGGUACGGCCCAGACCUCUACGGGGGGCAACAGGUGGGAAUAUUGCACAAUGGGCGGAAGCCUGAUGCAGCAACCCCGCGUUCGGGAUGACGGCCUUCGGGUUGGAAACCGCUUUCGCCUGGGACGAAGCGGGAGUGACGGUAAUGUGUAAAGAAGCACCGGCUAACUACGUG
RNAcentral lists this ribosomal RNA (468 nucleotides) under uncultured bacterium. RNAcentral describes it as "partial 16S ribosomal RNA". It matches the Rfam family "Bacterial small subunit ribosomal RNA", at positions 28 to 507 of the family's 1533-position model. The record is from RNAcentral.